RNAcentral lists this ribosomal RNA (2665 nucleotides) under Vibrio cholerae. RNAcentral describes it as "bacterial LSU rRNA". It matches the Rfam family "Bacterial large subunit ribosomal RNA". The record is from RNAcentral. Lineage: Bacteria; Pseudomonadati; Pseudomonadota; Gammaproteobacteria; Vibrionales; Vibrionaceae.
CAACCGAGAUUCCGGUAGUAGCGGCGAGCGAACCUGGAUUAGCCCUUAAGCACUCGGUGAAGUAGGUGAACAAGCUGGAAAGCUUGGCGAUACAGGGUGAUAGCCCCGUAACCGACGCUUCAUCGAGCGUGAAAUCGAGUAGGGCGGGACACGUGAUAUCCUGUCUGAAUAUGGGGGGACCAUCCUCCAAGGCUAAAUACUCCUGACUGACCGAUAGUGAACCAGUACCGUGAGGGAAAGGCGAAAAGAACCCCUGUGAGGGGAGUGAAAUAGAACCUGAAACCGUGUACGUACAAGCAGUAGGAGCACCUUCGUGGUGUGACUGCGUACCUUUUGUAUAAUGGGUCAGCGACUUAUAUUCAGUGGCAAGGUUAACCGUAUAGGGGAGCCGUAGCGAAAGCGAGUCUUAACUGGGCGCUCAGUCUCUGGAUAUAGACCCGAAACCGGGUGAUCUAGCCAUGGGCAGGUUGAAGGUUGAGUAACAUCAACUGGAGGACCGAACCGACUAAUGUUGAAAAAUUAGCGGAUGACUUGUGGCUAGGGGUGAAAGGCCAAUCAAACUCGGAGAUAGCUGGUUCUCCCCGAAAGCUAUUUAGGUAGCGCCUCGGACGAAUACUACUGGGGGUAGAGCACUGUUAAGGCUAGGGGGUCAUCCCGACUUACCAACCCUUUGCAAACUCCGAAUACCAGUAAGUACUAUCCGGGAGACACACGGCGGGUGCUAACGUCCGUCGUGGAGAGGGAAACAACCCAGACCGCCAGCUAAGGUCCCAAAGUAUUGCUAAGUGGGAAACGAUGUGGGAAGGCUCAGACAGCUAGGAUGUUGGCUUAGAAGCAGCCAUCAUUUAAAGAAAGCGUAAUAGCUCACUAGUCGAGUCGGCCUGCGCGGAAGAUGUAACGGGGCUAAGCAAUACACCGAAGCUGCGGCAAUGUCUUUUAGACAUUGGGUAGGGGAGCGUUCUGUAAGCCGUUGAAGGUGAAUCGUAAGGUUUGCUGGAGGUAUCAGAAGUGCGAAUGCUGACAUGAGUAACGACAAAGGGGGUGAAAAACCUCCUCGCCGGAAGACCAAGGGUUCCUGUCCAACGUUAAUCGGGGCAGGGUGAGUCGACCCCUAAGGUGAGGCCGAAAGGCGUAAUCGAUGGGAAACGGGUUAAUAUUCCCGUACUUCUGACUAUUGCGAUGGGGGGACGGAGAAGGCUAGGUGGGCCAGGCGACGGUUGUCCUGGUUCAAGUGCGUAGGCUUGAGAGUUAGGUAAAUCCGGCUCUCUCUAAGGCUGAGACACGACGUCGAGCUACUACGGUAGUGAAGUCAUUGAUGCCAUGCUUCCAGGAAAAGCCUCUAAGCUUCAGAUAGUCAGGAAUCGUACCCCAAACCGACACAGGUGGUCGGGUAGAGAAUACCAAGGCGCUUGAGAGAACUCGGGUGAAGGAACUAGGCAAAAUGGUACCGUAACUUCGGGAGAAGGUACGCUCUUGAUGGUGAAGUCCCUCGCGGAUGGAGCUGACGAGAGUCGCAGAUACCAGGUGGCUGCAACUGUUUAUUAAAAACACAGCACUGUGCAAAAUCGCAAGAUGACGUAUACGGUGUGACGCCUGCCCGGUGCCGGAAGGUUAAUUGAUGGGGUUAGCGCAAGCGAAGCUCUUGAUCGAAGCCCCGGUAAACGGCGGCCGUAACUAUAACGGUCCUAAGGUAGCGAAAUUCCUUGUCGGGUAAGUUCCGACCUGCACGAAUGGCGUAAUGAUGGCCACGCUGUCUCCACCCGAGACUCAGUGAAAUUGAAAUCGCUGUGAAGAUGCAGUGUACCCGCGGCUAGACGGAAAGACCCCGUGAACCUUUACUACAGCUUGGCACUGAACAUUGAACCUACAUGUGUAGGAUAGGUGGGAGGCUAUGAAGACGUGACGCCAGUUGCGUUGGAGCCGUCCUUGAAAUACCACCCUUGUAUGUUUGAUGUUCUAACUUAGACCCAUUAUCUGGGUUGAGGACAGUGCCUGGUGGGUAGUUUGACUGGGGCGGUCUCCUCCCAAAGAGUAACGGAGGAGCACGAAGGUGGGCUAAUCACGGUUGGACAUCGUGAGGUUAGUGCAAUGGCAUAAGCCCGCUUAACUGCGAGAAUGACGGUUCGAGCAGGUGCGAAAGCAGGUCAUAGUGAUCCGGUGGUUCUGUAUGGAAGGGCCAUCGCUCAACGGAUAAAAGGUACUCCGGGGAUAACAGGCUGAUACCGCCCAAGAGUUCAUAUCGACGGCGGUGUUUGGCACCUCGAUGUCGGCUCAUCACAUCCUGGGGCUGAAGUCGGUCCCAAGGGUAUGGCUGUUCGCCAUUUAAAGUGGUACGCGAGCUGGGUUUAGAACGUCGUGAGACAGUUCGGUCCCUAUCUGCCGUGGGCGUUGGAAGAUUGAAGGGGGCUGCUCCUAGUACGAGAGGACCGGAGUGGACGAACCUCUGGUGUUCGGGUUGUGUCGCCAGACGCAUUGCCCGGUAGCUAAGUUCGGAAUUGAUAAGCGCUGAAAGCAUCUAAGCGCGAAGCGAGCCCUGAGAUGAGUCUUCCCUGACAGUUUAACUGUCCUAAAGGGUUGUUCGAGACUAGAACGUUGAUAGGCAGGGUGUGUAAGCGUUGUGAGGCGUUGAGCUAACCUGUACUAAUUGCCCGUGAGGCUUAACCAU